AUUGCCUGCCCAGUGACUAUAGUUAAACGGCCGCGGUAUCCUGACCGUGCAAAGGUAGCAUAAUCAUUUGUUCCUUAAUUAGGGACUAGUAUGAAUGGCUAAACGAGGGYUSAACUGUCUCUUAUUUUUGAUCAGUGAAAUUGACCUUCCAGUGAAGAGGCUGGAAUCCAAUAAUAAGACGAGAAGACCCUAUGGAGCUUAAAUUAACAAGCUUAAUUACUUAUUUACAUCCCUAAUGGCAUAACAAAAAAAUAUAAGCUUAAAAUUUUGGUUGGGGUGACCUCGGAGAAUAAAAAAUCCUCCGACGAUAUCUAACUUAGACCNACAAGUCAAAGUAGGCUACUAUCCAAUUGACCCAAAAAUUGAUCAACGGACCAAGUUACCCUAGGGAUAACAGCGCAAUCCUAUUUAAGAGUUCAUNUCGACAAUAGGGUUUACGABCUCGAUGUUGGAUCAGGAYNUCCCAAUGGUNCAGAAG
This 478-nucleotide ribosomal RNA is filed under the name Hylomyscus parvus. RNAcentral's name for it is "partial 16S ribosomal RNA". It matches the Rfam family "Bacterial large subunit ribosomal RNA", at positions 1854 to 2561 of the family's 2925-position model. The record is from RNAcentral. Lineage: Eukaryota; Metazoa; Chordata; Mammalia; Rodentia; Muridae.